AGAGCGAACGCUGGCGGCAGGCUUAACACAUGCAAGUCGAGCGCCCCGCAAGGGGAGCGGCAGACGGGAGAGUAACACGUGGGAACGUACCUUUCGGUUCGGAACAACCCAGGGAAACUUGGGCUAAUACCGGAUACGUCCGUAAGGAGAAAGAUUUAUCGCCGAAAGAUCGGCCCGCGUCUGAUUAGCUAGUUGGUGAGGUAACGGCUCACCAAGGCGACGAUCAGUAGCUGGUCUGAGAGGAUGAUCAGCCUCACUGGGACUGAGACACGGCCCAGACUCCUACGGGAGGCAGCAGUGGGGAAUAUUGGACAAUGGGCGCAAGCCUGAUCCAGCCAUGCCGCGUGGGUGAUGAAGGCCCUAGGGUUGUAAAGCCCUUUCGGCGGGAAGAUAAUGACGGUACCCGCAGAAGAAGCCCCGGCUAACUUCGUGCUAGCAGCCGC
RNAcentral lists this ribosomal RNA (443 nucleotides) under uncultured bacterium. RNAcentral describes it as "SSU rRNA". It matches the Rfam family "Bacterial small subunit ribosomal RNA", at positions 26 to 518 of the family's 1533-position model. The record is from RNAcentral.